This 462-nucleotide ribosomal RNA is filed under the name uncultured bacterium. Its description in RNAcentral is "partial 16S ribosomal RNA". It matches the Rfam family "Bacterial small subunit ribosomal RNA", at positions 29 to 523 of the family's 1533-position model. The record is from RNAcentral.
AAUGAACGUUGGCGGCAUGGAUUAGGCAUGCAAGUCGGGGGAAUCCCAGCAAUGGGGGAACCGGCGUAAGGGGCAGUAAGGCAUGGGUACCUACCUUGGGGUUCGGGAUAGCCAUCAGAGAUGGUGGGUAAUACCGGAUGACGUCGUGAGACCAAAGAUUCAUCGCCCUUAGAGGGGCCCAUGUGAUAUUAGCUAGUUGGUGGGGUAACGGCCCACCAAGGCGAAGAUGUCUAGCGGGUGUGAGAGCACGACCCGCGCCACUCGCACUGAGACACUGGCGAGACACCUACGGGUGGCUGCAGUCGAGGAUCUUCGGCAAUGAGCGCAAGCUUGACCGAGCGAUGCCGCGUGAGCGAUGAAGGCCUUCGGGUUGUAAAGCUCUUUAGUGGGGGAGAAAAGCCGCAAGGUGUGAUCUAUCCCAAAAAUAAGCACGGGCUAAGUUCGUGCCAGCCGCCGCAGUAA